Molecule: ribosomal RNA, 449 nt
Filed under: uncultured bacterium
Lineage: Bacteria
Description: partial 16S ribosomal RNA
Rfam family: Bacterial small subunit ribosomal RNA
Source: RNAcentral
AGCGAACGCUGGCGGCAGGCCUAACACAUGCAAGUCGAACGAAGUCUUCGGACUUAGUGGCGGACGGGUGAGUAACACGUGGGAACGUACAUUUUGGUUCGGAAUAACUGAGGGAAACUUCAGCUAAUACCGGAUAAGCUCUUCGGAGGAAAGAUUUAUCGCCAUUAGAGCGGCCCGCGUUGGAUUAGGUAGUUGGUGUGGUAAAGGCGCACCAAGCCUACGAUCCAUAGCUGGUCUGAGAGGAUGAUCAGCCACACUGGGACUGAGACACGGCCCAGACUCCUACGGGAGGCAGCAGUGGGGAAUCUUGCGCAAUGGUCGAAAGACUGACGCAGCCAUGCCGCGUGAAUGAUGAAGGUCUUAGGAUUGUAAAAUUCCUUUAGCAGGGACGAUAAUGACGGUACCUGCAGAAAAAGCCCCGGCUAACUUCGUGCCAGCCGCCGCCGUAA